Molecule: non-coding RNA, 244 nt
Organism: Pelobates cultripes (western spadefoot toad)
Lineage: Eukaryota; Metazoa; Chordata; Amphibia; Anura; Pelobatidae
Source: the annotation of a GenBank genome assembly
GUUAUCUUAUGUAAAUGUUCUUAAAAUUUUCCUAAAUUUCUAUUUUUAUUGCAACCACCGUAGUCUAGUCAAAAGACGCACACAUGGGCCAUCUCACAGCUAUAUCUGGCUCUAUCGUAAAAACCAUAAAGAACCAUUUCCAAAGAGCAAAUACACUAUUAUUACGACUAUUGUGAUCCACUGCCUUGCUGUCAUUACUAUGUUUGUUUUUAAUUCUGUUAAAUCUUCCACAACACUGUUGGAG